GUGGAAUUUCAGCAUUGUUUUCAUCUGCAUCUCUUGAAUGGCCAGUGAUGUUGAACAUUUUUUCAUAUGUUUAUUUGCUACUUUUACUUCUUUGAGAAAUGUCUGUUCAUUUCAGAUGCCCAUUUUUGAAUUUGGUUUUAUAUUUGAGGGGUCUGAUUUUUUAAGUUCUUUAUAUAUUCUAGAUAGUAGACCUUUGUCUGAGGAACAGCUGGUAAAAUUUUUUUCCCACAUUGUAGGUUGUCUCUUAGCUCUUUUGAUGGUUUCUCUUGCAGUGCAGAAGCUUUUUAAUAAGAUGAGAUCCCAGUUGUUGAUUCUUUGUGCUAGUUCCCGUACUACUGAGGAUUUGUUCAUAAAGUCCUUUCCUAUGCCAAGGUCUUCAAGAGUUCUACCUAACUUGCCUUCCAGCAAGUUUAGUGUUUCUGUUUUAAUAUUUAGAUCUUUAAUCUAUUUCAAUUUUAGUUUAGUGCAUGGUGACAGAUAGGGGUCUAGUUUUAAUUUGGGGCAAGUUGAAAUUCAGUUUUUCCAACACCAUUUAUUAAAGAGGCUAUCUUUCCUCCUGUGAGGAUGGUUGGCUCCUUUGUCAAAGAUCAGGUGGCUGAGUAUGUCUCGAGUUGUUUCUCUAUCUUCUAAUCUAUUCCACUGAUUCUCAGGUCUGUUUCUUUGCCAGUACCAUGCUAGUUUUUAUCACAGUGGCUUUGUAGUACAGUUUCAGGUUGGGGAUUGUGAUACCCCCUGCCAUGUCUCUGUUGCCUAGAAUUGCUUUUGCUAUUCUAGGUCUCCUCUGGUUCCAGAUGAACUUUUGGAUUGUUUUCUCUAGUUCUGUGAAAUAUGCUGUUGGGAUUUCAAUCGGGAUUGCAUUGAAUUUCUAUGGCAGUUUUGGAAGUAUGGCCAUUUUCGCUAUAUUGGUUCUUCCUACCCAGGAGCAAGGGAUGUCUUUCCAUUUUCUUGUAUCCUCUUUGAUGUCUUUUUUCAGAGUGCUGUAGUUCUCAGUGUAGAGGUCUUUUGCUUCCUUUGCUAUAUUGAUUCCUACAUAUGUCAUUUUUUUGGAUGCUAUUGUGAAAGGGAUUUUUUCCCUAAUUUCUCUCUCAGUGAGCCUGUUAUUUGUGUUAAACUUGCUGGAAGGCUAUUGUUUCUUGAGUGUUGACCUUGUAUCCAGCUACUCUACUGAAUCUGUCAAGUCUAGAAGUCUUUUGGCAGAGUUUUUUGGGUCUUCUAUGUAGAGUAUCACAUCUCUACUUGGUUAUUUGCUUGUUUCAAUUUGUUACUGAAUUGUAGGAGUUCUUUAUCCCACUAUUAAUUUCUUAACCAGUUACAUGAUUUGCAAAUAUUUUCCUCCACUCUGUAGAUUGCCUUUCCACUCUUUCAUUGGUUCUGUUGAUGUGUGGACAUUUUAAAGUUUUGUGUAUUCUCAUUUGUCUAUUUUUGCUUUUGUUACUUGUGUUGUUUGGGUUAUAUCCAAGUAACCAUUGCCAGAUCCAAUGACAUCAAUGCUUUUCCCUGUUUUCUUCUAGGAGUUUUAUAAGUUUGGAGUCUUAUAUUUGGGGCUUCAGUCUGUUUCAAGUUAGUUUUACAUGUGGUACAACGGAAGGGCCCUUUUGAGUGGAGACAGUCUCCUGGCACCUGUGGCACUGUCUCCCCAUGGAGCCACAUGCCUGUUCUGGAUGAGGUAUCUGGUCAUCAGAGCCCUUGGCCUCAUGCAGACCCUGGUCUGCACUUUUGUGCAGUGCAGGACAUAGUGCCAAGGCACAGAUGCACAUUUUCCAUUCAGCUGGACAGGGAAACUUGGGAUGAGACAAGAACAUGGCUGCAGUGCUGAAGAGUUUGGAUUGUUUCACAAGCAAGAGAGUCAGAAAGUUGUUUCACAUGAGAUGAAGACAUGCUCAGAGAGCCUUCAGCUGGAUAGAGACUGGCAGUCCUUCCAAGAGUGCUCCCUCUGCCCUGAACAAUGGCUGCCUUGAUUACUUGAUCAGCUAUCCCUAACCAGGGACAAGUCUGCUCCAUGUGAAUUAAGGGGGUUGGCACAUGUCCCAAACUUUCAUUUCUCCAAUAAGGCGAGACCAUAGCUCCUCACUCAAGCCCUUCUGGUGUUGCCACUUGGGAAGCUGGAGGGACUCAUCAUCUUCAUUGUGUGUUGCUAAUACCCUCUGGGCUGGGAGUGUAUGACCAAUGUGGAAAGAAUGCCAGCCAAACUGCUAAUUGUGAACACAUCUCGCCAUUGCCUGUUUAGUGGUCCAUGGAUCCAAAUGGAAUGGGGAGUAAAUCCAGGGCAAUGCCAAUAUAAGAGAUGCUGAAUCUCAGGAGAGUAUCCUGGCUUAAUGAAGUCCUGAGACUUUAAUUAACCUGAGUUAAUCAGGAAGGAAAAGAAACACAUGGUCCUUGUGGACACACUGUUCUCUGGUCUGGACAAGCCCAAGCAGCAAGAGCUGGCCCUGGGGCUCUUCUGCAUUCUCCACUCUCAGCAAUAGCGCAGAGCUCCUGGGCCUGAGCCCCUGGGACUUCCAUUGACAGGAGCCUGGCUUGUCUGCACCCAUGGCUUUUCUCUUUCCUCAGGGUGAAUUUAAUCAUGUUGAAGUCUCAGAUAAGGGAUAGUUCUUCUGGCAGACUGGCCUCAACUCCCAUAUCAGGCUACCUGCCUGUCGUCAUUGCUUUUCCUAGGAAAUUAUACCUACACCAUCACCCUUCAGCACUGGAGAAAUGAUCUGUGUAUGUGUUCAUAUCACCCACCACAGGGAACUGCCCGGUCCCUGGGUUAUGUAGGUUUUCCUUCUUUGAAAUUAAAAAAUCUCUAUAUCCUGUCCGCAACUCUUCAAAUUUCCUUAGCUAUUAAUGCUCAAGAAUCUCCAGUGCAGUGUUGUGAAAGUUACCUUGAAACCAGGAUUUUCUCUAUUCUAGCCAGGGGAUUGGAUGGCAUUUUUGAAAAGCCCUGGUGGGCUUAUUCCAGUCUGACUUCAGAUUUGUGCUCAAACAGUUGGUGCACGUAGGCAAGGAGCAGCUUGCUCUGCCGUCAGUCAGCAGAAGGGGGAAGUGAUGCGGCUGAAACUACCUGGGCUUCGGCUUCUGUGGGAGUAAUAAUGGGAGCCCAGGCUCUUUCCUCGAAUGGGAAGGGAAGCAAGUGGGGGGGGGGGGGCGUUAUAACCAUACCUCGAGGAUAUGUGACAAAACUGUAGGAUGGGAGGGGGAAUAUUUAAAUCACAACAAAAACGCCCAAACAGGUCAAGUCUACAUAACAUGCCCCCCCAAAACCCCAAAACAAAACCCCCCCGAAAAAUGAAGGAAUUGAACCCAUGGGGUUAGCACUGUGGCUCAGGAGUGACCUCAUUCCUGUGUUCAGCGAUGAGCAGUAGAAGCGGGAAUGCUGCUUUCCUAAUUGUUCACUUCCGAGGCAGUGAUUUCAGUCAUCUGCAGAGUCCUUUGUGUCUCAAUGAGAUUGCAGUUUAUAUUAGAGACCGAAAAGUUUCCCCUUCAAAGAAAUUCAUACCUAAGAAAAGAGCUGCUUUCAAUUCCCCUUACCCCCCUCUCUCGCUGCUCUUAAUGUCUUUUAUUUUUCUUGUAUCUUUUGAAGAUCUCACCUUUUUUCAGAACAGUAGGGAACGAGGUUGCACCAGCAGCUCCAUCCUGCACAUGUCUGGGGGAAGAUUUCCAAUUAGAUGAUAAAGAAGGGAUUUCUCUCAAAUGACGGUGGUCUCCAUGGAGAGAAAUGACAGGGCUUUCUUUGCCUAACUGCUGAGUUUAGUUGGUUAAGAAUCCUGUUCGCCAGAAUCCUGCUGACGAGGAUGUGUCCAGCAACAGUGGAGGAUUGGAGGAGUGGAGGAGUUACACCUGGUGAUUUUCGUUCCUACGCUUUCUCUUUUGUUAUCAAAAAACAAGUCAGUCUGUUACAGCUUUCUUCGUUUGUGCUGAGGUGAUGAGGGUGCUCAUACAAUUCUGUUUGUGGGAUGCUGUUAGACUUUCAGAGCAAGUGAGACAUCGAGUCUUCUUCUGGUGGAUUCCUCCUGCUCCCCCGCUGUGAAGAUGGCUCUUCCACACCGCUUGUGGGCAUGGGUCCCAGCACUUUGCCUGGUUAACGAGGCAGUAGGAGCGGUGAUAGGCCUUGCCCCAACUGUUUUACCACUUCCCUGUCACACACUGAAGCAGAUGGUCAGCCUGGUUCUUUAAGGUUCUUUGUUUCAAUCUGCUGGUUAGGGGACUUGAAAACUUUCCCUUGUUUAGUUUGGGAAAGAAUGAUUGUAUUAGAAAUACAAUUGAUGUGCAAAAAUUCAGCUUUAUUCCAGAACUAGAAAUGGUCACAUCUGAUGGCUGAUACCUGAGCAGAUUCUGAUGGGGAAAAUCAUAUGUCUUUGUAUUUAUUUACUCAGUCACUGUCAAAAACACCCAUGGUGGGGCCAGGGAUGUGGCAUCGCACCUGACUCGCAAGCACCACGUCCUGAGUUUGAUCCCUGGUACCAGAAAACAAAACAAAAACAAACAUGGUUUCUACUCCUCCCCCCACACUCUCUGUCACCCACUUUGGCACAUACAUUACUUCCUUGCAAAGAUAAUUUACAUUAAUCCACCCUAAGAAGAAUGUGUUAUAGCUUUGCUACUUAUCCAUUUUGUAGAUAAAAACACUUCUUCCAUACAAAUCCCCAACAACAACAUUUGAGUUUAAAUAUAAUCAUCUUUUUCUUUUCUCUGAGGAUUAGGAGAUGAUUUAUGAAUAUCCCUUCUAAUUUAGAGCCUUUUGUUUUAUUUUUAGGUGAGGUAUAUUACUUCUUUGCAUUUUCUAUUUUGCUUUUAAAAUGACUGUCUAAAUAAUUUUCUGUGCUUCCAGUUCAGUUAUAUAACACAACCAAUUAAGCUGUGAUGGAUAUACUGAUGAAUUAUUAAAUUCUUCAGGUUCAUUUGCAGUCCAUUUAAUGCUCAUACUGGCAGUGAUUAGCACAGUAAUAUUUCACAUCUAACAAUUUGCCACCUCAAUUUUCUUCUGUUGAAAUGUAAAUAUCGAUUCCUAUAAUGGCAGAAG
Molecule: long non-coding RNA, 5002 nt
Organism: Heterocephalus glaber (naked mole-rat)
Lineage: Eukaryota; Metazoa; Chordata; Mammalia; Rodentia; Bathyergidae
Source: Ensembl